GAGGGUAUAGCUCAGUGGUACAGUGCAUGCUUAGCAUGCACGAGAUCCUGGGUUCAAUCCCUAGUGCCUUCA
Camelus ferus (Wild Bactrian camel) is the source of this 72-nucleotide transfer RNA. It matches the Rfam family "tRNA". Rfam says of the family: Transfer RNA (tRNA) molecules are approximately 80 nucleotides in length. Their secondary structure includes four short double-helical elements and three loops (D, anti-codon, and T loops). Further hydrogen bonds mediate the characteristic L-shaped molecular structure. tRNAs have two regions of fundamental functional importance: the anti-codon, which is responsible for specific mRNA codon recognition, and the 3' end, to which the tRNAs corresponding amino acid is attached (by aminoacyl-tRNA synthetases). tRNAs cope with the degeneracy of the genetic code in two manners: having more than one tRNA (with a specific anti-codon) for a particular amino acid; and 'wobble' base-pairing, i.e. permitting non-standard base-pairing at the 3rd anti-codon position. The record is from Rfam. NCBI's taxonomy places the organism in Eukaryota, Metazoa, Chordata, Mammalia, Artiodactyla, Camelidae.